UACGGAGGGUGCAAGCGUUAAUCGGAAUUACUGGGCGUAAAGCGCACGUAGGUGGUUUGUUAAGCCAGCUGUGAAAUCCCCGGGCUCAACCUGGGCACUGCAGUUGGAACUGGCAAGUUAGAGUAGGGUAGAGGGGUGUGGAAUUCCAGGUGUAGCGGUGAAAUGCGUAGAUAUCUGGAGGAACAUCAGUGGCGAAGGCGACACCCUGGACUCAUACUGACACUGAGGUGCGAAAGCGUGGGGAGCAAACAGG
RNAcentral lists this ribosomal RNA (253 nucleotides) under uncultured bacterium. RNAcentral's name for it is "partial 16S ribosomal RNA". It matches the Rfam family "Bacterial small subunit ribosomal RNA", at positions 524 to 776 of the family's 1533-position model. The record is from RNAcentral.